GGGGGUAUAGCUCAGUUGGUAGAGGGUCUCGUUCGCAAUGAGAAGGCCAGGGGUUCGAAUCCCCUUACCUCCA
This 73-nucleotide transfer RNA is filed under the name Verrucomicrobiota bacterium. Its description in RNAcentral is "Verrucomicrobia bacterium tRNA-Ala". It matches the Rfam family "tRNA". From Rfam's summary of the family: Transfer RNA (tRNA) molecules are approximately 80 nucleotides in length. RNAcentral also lists the same sequence under 1 other name. The record is from RNAcentral. Lineage: Bacteria; Pseudomonadati; Verrucomicrobiota.